This 253-nucleotide ribosomal RNA is filed under the name uncultured bacterium. RNAcentral describes it as "partial 16S ribosomal RNA". It matches the Rfam family "Bacterial small subunit ribosomal RNA", at positions 524 to 776 of the family's 1533-position model. The record is from RNAcentral.
UACGUAGGGUGCAAGCGUUAAUCGGAAUUACUGGGCGUAAAGCGUGCGCAGGCGGCUUUGCAAGACAGAUGUGAAAUCCCCGGGCUUAACCUGGGAACUGCAUUUGUGACUGCAUGGCUAGAGUGCGGCAGAGGGGGGUGGAAUUCCGCGUGUAGCAGUGAAAUGCGUAGAUAUGCGGAGGAACACCGAUGGCGAAGGCAAUCCCCUGGGCCUGCACUGACGCUCAUGCACGAAAGCGUGGGGAGCAAACAGG